GACAAGGUGCCUGAUUAAAGGGCUACUUUGAUAGAGUAGAUCAUGUGGGUAACCCACCUUUGUUA
Molecule: transfer RNA, 65 nt
Filed under: Lepas anserifera
Lineage: Eukaryota; Metazoa; Arthropoda; Thecostraca; Lepadidae
Description: tRNA-Ile
Source: RNAcentral